This 790-nucleotide ribosomal RNA is filed under the name Escherichia coli. Its description in RNAcentral is "partial 23S ribosomal RNA". It matches the Rfam family "Bacterial large subunit ribosomal RNA", at positions 2132 to 2915 of the family's 2925-position model. Lineage: Bacteria; Pseudomonadati; Pseudomonadota; Gammaproteobacteria; Enterobacterales; Enterobacteriaceae. The record is from RNAcentral.
UGAUGUGUAGGAUAGGUGGGAGGCUUUGAAGUGUGGACGCCAGUCUGCAUGGAGCCGACCUUGAAAUACCACCCUUUAAUGUUUGAUGUUCUAACGUUGACCCGUAAUCCGGGUUGCGGACAGUGUCUGGUGGGUAGUUUGACUGGGGCGGUCUCCUCCUAAAGAGUAACGGAGGAGCACGAAGGUUGGCUAAUCCUGGUCGGACAUCAGGAGGUUAGUGCAAUGGCAUAAGCCAGCUUGACUGCGAGCGUGACGGCGCGAGCAGGUGCGAAAGCAGGUCAUAGUGAUCCGGUGGUUCUGAAUGGAAGGGCCAUCGCUCAACGGAUAAAAGGUACUCCGGGGAUAACAGGCUGAUACCGCCCAAGAGUUCAUAUCGACGGCGGUGUUUGGCACCUCGAUGUCGGCUCAUCACAUCCUGGGGCUGAAGUAGGUCCCAAGGGUAUGGCUGUUCGCCAUUUAAAGUGGUACGCGAGCUGGGUUUAGAACGUCGUGAGACAGUUCGGUCCCUAUCUGCCGUGGGCGCUGGAGAACUGAGGGGGGCUGCUCCUAGUACGAGAGGACCGGAGUGGACGCAUCACUGGUGUUCGGGUUGUCAUGCCAAUGGCACUGCCCGGUAGCUAAAUGCGGAAGAGAUAAGUGCUGAAAGCAUCUAAGCACGAAACUUGCCCCGAGAUGAGUUCUCCCUGACUCCUUGAGAGUCCUGAAGGAACGUUGAAGACGACGACGUUGAUAGGCCGGGUGUGUAAGCGCAGCGAUGCGUUGAGCUAACCGGUACUAAUGAACCGUGAGG